CUGGGAUGUGAUGGGGAGCGAAAUUUAGUAGCGAAGUAGCUGAUUUCACACUGUCAAGAAAAGUCUCUAUCGAGGUUAAAGGUACCCGUACCGCAAACCGACACAGGCGGGUGAGGAGAGUAUCCUAAGGCCAGCGAGAGAACUGUUGUUAAGGAACUCGGCAAAAUGACCCCGUAACUUAGGGAUAAGGGGUGCCACCAUCAGG
This 205-nucleotide ribosomal RNA is filed under the name Clostridioides difficile. Its description in RNAcentral is "partial 23S ribosomal RNA". It matches the Rfam family "Bacterial large subunit ribosomal RNA", at positions 1556 to 1761 of the family's 2925-position model. Lineage: Bacteria; Bacillati; Bacillota; Clostridia; Peptostreptococcales; Peptostreptococcaceae. The record is from RNAcentral.